GUGCUUCGGCAGUGCAUAUACUAAAAUUGAAAUGAUACAGAGAAGAUUAGCAUGGCCCCUGCGUGAGGAUGACAUGCAAAUUCAUAAAGCGUUCCGUACUUUU
This is a small nuclear RNA of Chelonoidis abingdonii (Abingdon island giant tortoise), 103 nucleotides long. NCBI's taxonomy places the organism in Eukaryota, Metazoa, Chordata, Testudines, Testudinidae. The record is from Ensembl.